UGCAGUCGUACGAGAGUUUUUAACUCAAGUGGCGGACGGGUGAGUAACACGUAAGAAUUUGCCUUUAGGAGGGGGAUAACAUUUGGAAACGAAUGCUAAUACCCCAUAUGCUUUUAAGUGAAAUGGUAUUUUAUAUUAGCUUUUAUGUUAAUAUGUUAAUCUAUAAUUUUAAAUAUUAUUUAUAACCGCCUAAAGAGAAGCUUGCGGCUGAUUAGCUUGUUGGUAAGGUAAUGGCUUACCAAGGCGACGAUCAGUAUCUGGUUUGAGAGGAUGAUCAGACACACUGGAACUGAGACACGGUCCAGACUCCUACGGGAGGCAGCAGUGGGGAAUUUUCCGCAAUGGGCGAAAGCCUGACGGAGCAAUACCGCGUGAGGGAUGACUGCCUAUGGGUUGUAAACCUCUUUUUUCAGGGAGGAAUAAAUGACGUUACCUGAAGAAUAAGCAUCGGCUAACUCCGUGCCAGCAGCCGCGGUAAGACGGAGGAUGCAAGUGUUAUCCGGAAUCACUGGGCGUAAAGCGUCUGUAGGUGGUUUAAUAAGUCAACUGUUAAAUCUUGAGGCUCAACCUCAAAACUGCAGUCGAAACUAUUAGACUAGAGUAUAGUAGGGGUAAAGGGAAUUUCCAGUGGAGCGGUGAAAUGCGUAGAGAUUGGAAAGAACACCGAUGGCGAAGGCACUUUACUGG
RNAcentral lists this ribosomal RNA (687 nucleotides) under uncultured bacterium. RNAcentral describes it as "bacterial SSU rRNA". It matches the Rfam family "Bacterial small subunit ribosomal RNA", at positions 56 to 732 of the family's 1533-position model. The record is from RNAcentral.